CACGGUGAGUAACACGUAUCCAACCUGCCGUCUACUCUUGGACAGCCUUCUGAAAGGAAGAUUAAUACAAGAUGGCAUCAUGAGUCCGCAUGUUCACAUGAUUAAAGGUAUUCCGGUAGACGAUGGGGAUGCGUUCCAUUAGAUAGUAGGCGGGGUAACGGCCCACCUAGUCUUCGAUGGAUAGGGGUUCUGAGAGGAAGGUCCCCCACAUUGGAACUGAGACACGGUCCAA
This 232-nucleotide ribosomal RNA is filed under the name uncultured bacterium. RNAcentral describes it as "partial 16S ribosomal RNA". It matches the Rfam family "Bacterial small subunit ribosomal RNA", at positions 105 to 334 of the family's 1533-position model. The record is from RNAcentral.